GCGCCCGUAGCUCAACUGGAUAGAGUGUUGGCCUCCGAAGCUAAAGGUUGUGGGUUCGAAUCCCGCCGGGCGCGCCA
Molecule: transfer RNA, 77 nt
Filed under: Rhodospirillaceae bacterium
Lineage: Bacteria; Pseudomonadati; Pseudomonadota; Alphaproteobacteria; Rhodospirillales; Rhodospirillaceae
Also listed under: 2 other names
Description: tRNA-Arg
Rfam family: tRNA
About the family: Transfer RNA (tRNA) molecules are approximately 80 nucleotides in length. Their secondary structure includes four short double-helical elements and three loops (D, anti-codon, and T loops).
Source: RNAcentral